GGGUGUGGAAACCUCUCCCUGGAAAAUGCGUUUUAAAACCUUGAGGGAAGCUCAGAAGGGAAAGCUCAAAGAGGACAAUAGCUGUUAACGGUGGACUCGGGCGAUUACAUUUCUUCUCAAGGGGAUAAAGAUGGUCUCCUUUCCAAGGAUUGGAUGAUGACCGUACUGAAAGUUUGUGGUGGUGCAUAUUGACAUGCCCCCAUUUUUAAUACCUUUUAACUUGUUGCAUCUCAGCAAAGAUUGAAGCAGGAUGAGAUAAAAGCUUUCUUCACGGCUUACCAUGCCUCCAACAUUAUAACAGCUCGAUCGACCGUGUUUAAUUCUUAGAUAGGCUGCCCAGAAUCUGGCAUCAGCUUAUUCAGUCAGGCUGUUCCCUAUGUACUAUUCAAUUCUUCUCUACUGGUUGUUUUGGCUAUCAAGAUCUAAUAAAUGGAACUCUACAGUAAACGGAGUGCUUUAUGGGAGUAUCGCAACGUGAAAGUCAGCACUCGGCCGUCUUCAACUCCGGCUCGAAAGCUAAGUAUGCAAAAUUCCAAUUCUCUAGCUUAUGUACUUGGAAAAAUGCAUAUCAUCCAUACAUUUAUAGCAUUAUCUUCAUAUCAGUGUGAACUGAAGCCCUGCAAUAGUUCUCAUAAUGAAUGAAAAAAGUCGGUUCGUUUCGAAAGGCA
This is a long non-coding RNA of Cucurbita maxima (winter squash), 668 nucleotides long. RefSeq lists it as uncharacterized. The record is from RefSeq and is a predicted model, not a curated record. The transcript has 2 exons. Lineage: Eukaryota; Viridiplantae; Streptophyta; Magnoliopsida; Cucurbitales; Cucurbitaceae.